This is a long non-coding RNA of Leguminivora glycinivorella, 617 nucleotides long. RefSeq lists it as uncharacterized. The transcript has 2 exons. NCBI's taxonomy places the organism in Eukaryota, Metazoa, Arthropoda, Insecta, Lepidoptera, Tortricidae. The record is from RefSeq and is a predicted model, not a curated record.
AUAUGGUAACGGAAUGAGAAAAAUGAGAGCUCGCGAUUCUGAGUGGAAACCACAUAAAAAAUUUCAAAUCCAAAAAAAAGUGGGGUGGAUAACUUUGAAAAAAAUGGCCCACUGUACCCAUGUAACUGUACACUCGCCAUCAAAUAUAUCGGAGCCGCCAUAGAUUUCACAAAAUAUCGGAACACUCCUAUAUUGUCAAGACGUUAGAAUGCAAGUUCCGAUGUUUGUGAGAGCUUUGGCAGCCAUGUCUUAAUAGACACCGUGCUGUAUUAGUCAUAGAAGACACUCCGACGUUUACUAUGCUUUCCCUAUUCUUAACUGUCCCUACUGAAUUCCUGUCUUAUGCUCAAUGUGAACUUAUUCGGAUACAAAUAAUCCUGUAAAAGAACAUGCAAAAAAUGUACUAAUGAAUAGUACAUUUGAAUGAUAAGAAGCCAUACCUAUAGGUGGAAAAUUCAAUAAGAUGAAUUAUGAAUGUUGUUGUUCUUUUAUAGAUUACUUGUUAAAGGUACAAUUACUCUACUAAGUUGCCCAUGUAUGACUAUAUAACAAUGUCCAUUUUCUUAGCCAAAUUACAAGUCAUAUCAAUGCGAUUGAAUAAAGUACCUAGUGAAGAA